GGCCUGAGAGGGCGACCGGCCACACUGGGACUGAGACACGGCCCAGACUCCUACGGGAGGCAGCAGUGGGGAAUAUUGCGCAAUGGGCGGAAGCCUGACGCAGCGACGCCGCGUGGGGGAUGACGGCCUUCGGGUUGUAAACCUCUUUCGCCAGGGACGAAGAGUGAUUGACGGUACCUGGAGAAGAAGCACCGGCCAACUACGUGCCAGCAGCCGCGGUAACACGUAGGGUGCGAGCGUUGUCCGGAAUUAUUGGGCGUAAAGAGCUCGUAGGCGGUGUGUCGCGUCGGCCGUGAAAACUUGGGGCUUAACUCUGAGCGUGCGGUCGAUACGGGCAUCACUUGAGUUCGGCAGGGGAGACUGGAAUUCCUGGUGUAGCGGUGAAAUGCGCAGAUAUCAGGAGGAACACCGGUGGCGAAGGCGGGUCUCUGGGCCGAUACUGACGCUGAGGAGCGAAAGCGUGGGGAGCGAACAGGAUUAGAUACCCUGGUAGUCCACGCCGUAAACGUUGGGCGCUAGGUGUGGGGACCAUUCCACG
This 538-nucleotide ribosomal RNA is filed under the name bacterium 2b81909. Its description in RNAcentral is "bacterial SSU rRNA". It matches the Rfam family "Bacterial small subunit ribosomal RNA", at positions 289 to 845 of the family's 1533-position model. The record is from RNAcentral. RNAcentral also lists the same sequence under 1 other name.